CGGGAAUAUUGCGCAAUGGAGGAAACUCUGACGCAGUGACGCCGCGUAUGGGAAGAAGGUUUUCGGAUUGUAAACCAUUGUCGUUAGGGAAGAAAAAUUGACAGUACCUAAGGAGGAAGCUCCGGCUAACUAU
This 133-nucleotide ribosomal RNA is filed under the name uncultured bacterium. RNAcentral's name for it is "partial 16S ribosomal RNA". It matches the Rfam family "Bacterial small subunit ribosomal RNA", at positions 356 to 504 of the family's 1533-position model. The record is from RNAcentral.